RNAcentral lists this ribosomal RNA (3006 nucleotides) under Haemophilus influenzae CGSHiCZ412602. RNAcentral describes it as "LSU rRNA". It matches the Rfam family "Bacterial large subunit ribosomal RNA". Lineage: Bacteria; Pseudomonadati; Pseudomonadota; Gammaproteobacteria; Pasteurellales; Pasteurellaceae. The record is from RNAcentral.
GUAUAGUUAAGUGACUAAGCGUACAAGGUGGAUGCCUUGGCAAUCAGAGGCGAAGAAGGACGUGCUAAUCUGCGAAAAGCUUGGAUGAGUCGAUAAGAGGCGUUUAAUCCAAGAUAUCCGAAUGGGGAAACCCAGUAGAUGAAGAAUCUACUAUCAACAAGUGAAUUCAUAGCUUGUUGAGGCAAACCGGGAGAACUGAAACAUCUAAGUACCCCGAGGAAAAGAAAUCAACCGAGAUUUCGUCAGUAGCGGCGAGCGAAAGCGAAAGAGCCAGUAAGUGAUAACAGUAUGGUUAGGAGAAUGUGUUGGGAAGCACAAUCAAAGAGGGUGAUAAUCCCGUAUCUAAAAACCAUAUUGUGGUACUAAGCUAACGAGAAGUAGGGCGGGACACGUGAUAUCCUGUUUGAAGAAGGGGGGACCAUCCUCCAAGGCUAAAUACUCCUGAUUGACCGAUAGUGAACCAGUACUGUGAAGGAAAGGCGAAAAGAACCCCGGUGAGGGGAGUGAAAUAGAACCUGAAACCUUGUACGUACAAGCAGUGGGAGCCUGAAAGGGUGACUGCGUACCUUUUGUAUAAUGGGUCAGCGACUUAUAUUUUGUAGCGAGGUUAACCGAAUAGGGGAGCCGAAGGGAAACCGAGUCUUAACUGGGCGAAGAGUUGCAAGGUAUAGACCCGAAACCCGGUGAUCUAGCCAUGGGCAGGUUGAAGGUUGGGUAACACUAACUGGAGGACCGAACCGACUAAUGUUGAAAAAUUAGCGGAUGACUUGUGGCUGGGGGUGAAAGGCCAAUCAAACCGGGAGAUAGCUGGUUCUCCCCGAAAUCUAUUUAGGUAGAGCCUUGAGGUGACACCUUUGGGGGUAGAGCACUGUUUCGGCUAGGGGGCCAUCCCGGCUUACCAACCCGAUGCAAACUACGAAUACCAAAGAGUGAUACUCAGGAGACACACGGCGGGUGCUAACGUCCGUCGUGGAGAGGGAAACAACCCAGACCGCCAGCUAAGGUCCCCAAGUCUAUAUUAAGUGGGAAACGAAGUGGGAAGGCUUAGACAGCUAGGAUGUUGGCUUAGAAGCAGCCAUCAUUUAAAGAAAGCGUAAUAGCUCACUAGUCGAGUCGGCCUGCGCGGAAGAUGUAACGGGGCUGAAAUAUAGCACCGAAGCUGCGGCAUCAGGCGUAUCACUAAUACGCCUUACGAUUAACAAGCUAGAAUGGUGCGAAGCGACAUGAAAGGUUGUUCAAGCAACCCGAACGUUGAGUCGGGCAUCUUAGAGUGAGGAUUAUUAGUGAUACGCCUGUUGGGUAGGGGAGCGUUGUGUAAGCGGAAGAAGGUUCAUCGAGAGGUGGGCUGGACGUAUCACAAGUGCGAAUGCUGACAUAAGUAACGAUAAAACGGGUGAAAAACCCGUUCGCCGGAAGACCAAGGGUUCCUGUCCAACGUUAAUCGGGGCAGGGUGAGUCGGCUCCUAAGGCGAGGCUGAAAAGCGUAGUCGAUGGGAAACAGGUUAAUAUUCCUGUACUUGGUAAAGCUGCGAUGUGGGGACGGAGUAGGUUAGGUUAUCGCACUGUUGGAUAUGUGCGUUUAAGUUGGUAGGUGGGAAGUUUAGGCAAAUCCGGACUUCCUUAACACAGAGAGAUGAUGACGAGGCUCUACGGAGCUGAAGUAACUGAUACCACACUUCCAGGAAAAGCCACUAAGCGAAAGGCUUUACUAAACCGUACUGAAAACCGACACAGGUGGUCAGGUAGAGAAUACUCAGGCGCUUGAGAGAACUCGGGUGAAGGAACUAGGCAAAAUAGCACCGUAACUUCGGGAGAAGGUGCGCCGGCGUAGAUUGUAAGGGCUAGCCCCUGAAGGUUGAACCGGUCGAAGAUACCAGCUGGCUGCAACUGUUUAUUAAAAACACAGCACUCUGCAAACACGAAAGUGGAGGUAUAGGGUGUGAUGCCUGCCCGGUGCUGGAAGGUUAAUUGAUGGUGUAAUCGCAAGAGAAGCACCUGAUCGAAGCCCCAGUAAACGGCGGCCGUAACUAUAACGGUCCUAAGGUAGCGAAAUUCCUUGUCGGGUAAGUUCCGACCUGCACGAAUGGCAUAAUGAUGGCCAGGCUGUCUCCACCCGAGACUCAGUGAAAUUGAAAUCGCCGUGAAGAUGCGGUGUACCCGCGGCUAGACGGAAAGACCCCGUGAACCUUUACUAUAGCUUGACACUGAACAUUGAAUUUUGAUGUGUAGGAUAGGUGGGAGCCUUUGAAGCAGUGACGCCAGUCAUUGUGGAGGCGACCUUGAAAUACCACCCUUUAACGUUUGAUGUUCUAACGAAGAUGACGAAACGUGGUCUCGGACAGUGUCUGGUGGGUAGUUUGACUGGGGCGGUCUCCUCCCAAAGCGUAACGGAGGAGCACGAAGGUUUGCUAAUCACGGUCGGACAUCGUGAGGUUAGUGCAAUGGUAUAAGCAAGCUUAACUGCGAGACAGACAAGUCGAGCAGGUACGAAAGUAGGUCAUAGUGAUCCGGUGGUUCUGAAUGGAAGGGCCAUCGCUCAACGGAUAAAAGGUACUCCGGGGAUAACAGGCUGAUACCGCCCAAGAGUUCAUAUCGACGGCGGUGUUUGGCACCUCGAUGUCGGCUCAUCACAUCCUGGGGCUGAAGUAGGUCCCAAGGGUAUGGCUGUUCGCCAUUUAAAGUGGUACGCGAGCUGGGUUUAGAACGUCGUGAGACAGUUCGGUCCCUAUCUGCCGUGGGCGUAGGAUGAUUGAUUGGGGCUGCUCCUAGUACGAGAGGACCGGAGUGGACGCAUCACUGGUGUUCCAGUUGUCUCGCCAGAGGCAUUGCUGGGUAGCUAAGUGCGGAAGAGAUAAGUGCUGAAAGCAUCUAAGCACGAAACUUGCCAAGAGAUGAGUCAUCCCUGACUUUAAGUCAGUAAGGGUUGUUGUAGACUACGACGUAGAUAGGUCAGGUGUGUAAGUGUAGUGAUACAUUGAGCUAACAGAUACUAAUUGCCCGAGAGGC